This 468-nucleotide ribosomal RNA is filed under the name uncultured bacterium. RNAcentral's name for it is "partial 16S ribosomal RNA". It matches the Rfam family "Bacterial small subunit ribosomal RNA", at positions 29 to 507 of the family's 1533-position model. The record is from RNAcentral.
AACGAACGCUGGCGGCGUGCUUAACACAUGCAAGUCGAACGGAAACGCACUACGUUUUUGCUCUUCUCGAUUGGCGAACGCGUGAGUAACACGUAAACAACCUACCCUUGACUUUGGGAUAACUUCACGUAACUAGGGCUAAUCCCAGAUAGCAUCUCCUCUUCCAUUGAACGGGUGGGAAAUUUUCGGCUGUCGGGGUUGGACUCGCGGCUUAUCAGCUUGCUGGUGGGGUAGUGGCUUACCAAGGAUUUGACGGGUAGCCGGCCUGAGAGGGUGACGGGCCACAUUGGGACUGAGGAACGGCCCAGACUCAUACGGGAGGCAGCAGUGGGGAAUAUUGCACAAUGGGCGGAAGCCUGAUGCAGCAACGCCGCGUGCGGGAUGACGGCCUUCGGGUUGUAAACCGCUUUCGCCUGUGACGAAGAGUGAGUGACGGUAAUGGGUAAAGAAGCACCGGCUAACUACGUG